UGGGAAUAUUGCACAAUGGGCGGAAGCCUGAUGCAGCGACGCCGCGUGGGGGAUGACGGCCUUCGGGUUGUAAACUCCUUUCGACCGCGAGGAAGCCGCCUGGUUGGAAGGGUGGUGACGGUAGUGGUAGAAGAAGCACCGGCUAACUACGUGCCAGCAGCCGCGGUAAUACGUAGGGUGCGAGCGUUGUCCGGAUUUACUGGGCGUAAAGAGCUCGUAGGUGGCUUGUCGCGUCGUCUGUGAAAGUCUGGGGCUUAACUCCGGGUGUGCAGGCGAUACGGGCUGGCUUGAGUGCUGUAGGGGAGACUGGAAUUCCUGGUGUAGCGGUGGAAUGCGCAGAUAUCAGGAGGAACACCGAUGGCGAAGGCAGGUCUCUGGGCAGUCACUGACGCUGAGGAGCGAGAGCAUGGGUAGCGAACAGGAUUAGAUACCCUGGUAGUCCAUGCUGUAAAACGGUGGGCGCUAGGUGUGGGGACUUUCCAUGGUUUCCGUGUCGUAGCUAACGCGUUAAGCGCCCCGCCUGGGGAGUACGGCCGCAAGGCUAAAAACUCAAAAGGAAUUGACGGGGUCAUAGCUGUUUCCU
This 583-nucleotide ribosomal RNA is filed under the name uncultured bacterium. RNAcentral's name for it is "partial 16S ribosomal RNA". It matches the Rfam family "Bacterial small subunit ribosomal RNA", at positions 356 to 1375 of the family's 1533-position model. The record is from RNAcentral.